GCCGAAGUGGUGGAAUUGGUAGACACGCUAGACUUAGGAUCUAGUGCCGCAAGGCGUGGAGGUUCAAGUCCUCUCUUCGGUA
This 82-nucleotide transfer RNA is filed under the name Desulfotignum phosphitoxidans DSM 13687. It matches the Rfam family "tRNA". Rfam says of the family: Transfer RNA (tRNA) molecules are approximately 80 nucleotides in length. Lineage: Bacteria; Pseudomonadati; Thermodesulfobacteriota; Desulfobacteria; Desulfobacterales; Desulfobacteraceae. The record is from Rfam by way of RNAcentral.